UGGAGCAACACCAACAGCCCUUAAGGCAUUCCUUCAGUGCCUAUAGGGUACACCAUUAGGCAUGUUGUCAAGACUGAGGGGUGUCCUUGAGAGAGAAUGGAGAAUGUCUAGAGACCAGAGACAGGCAUAUGGAAGCUGGCAUUCAGUCUCAGUAAAAGGGGAUCAAAAAGAUGGUUCUGGCCUAGGCAGAAGAGUGCUAGGCAGGACAUGGGGAGCUUCCUAGAGGAGGGGAUCCCAAGAUUGGAUGAAAGUCAUCAGUUCCUGCUGAAGCAGAGAAAGAUGCUAAUUCAGGAAAAGGACUUGGCAGAAAAGCUGAACCAUUAAUUUGAAGACUCCCAGAUGAGGUCCAAGAGCAAGGUCUUUGAGCAAGGUGCAUCAAGAUCAUGAUGAGGAAACCUACAAAGCCAACCAAACCAAACUUGUGGGAAUUCAUGAAAUUUAUCAACAGCUGUGGAGUCUGCCUGGGACUGGGCUAGGCCCUCUGCAUAUUGAGACAGUUGUUUAGCAUGAUUUUCUGAAUGGACUCCCUGGCAUUAAGAUCAGAAUCCAUCUCUGGUGCAAAGCAGGCUUUUUGAAACCCACUUCUAUGAUGGGACACCUAGCACAGCCUUGAGACAGGAGAAGGGGUUUAGACCUGCUUCUACUAAA
Molecule: long non-coding RNA, 648 nt
Organism: Peromyscus eremicus (cactus mouse)
Lineage: Eukaryota; Metazoa; Chordata; Mammalia; Rodentia; Cricetidae
Exons: 3
Source: RefSeq, a predicted model, not a curated record